Capsella rubella is the source of this 436-nucleotide long non-coding RNA. RefSeq lists it as uncharacterized. The record is from RefSeq and is a predicted model, not a curated record. The transcript has 2 exons. NCBI's taxonomy places the organism in Eukaryota, Viridiplantae, Streptophyta, Magnoliopsida, Brassicales, Brassicaceae.
CAGAUUCCUCGACUCUAAUGUCACGCUAAACCGGUUAGAUAACUCCGCCCUCCGACUCUAAUAUUGUGUUUAAAGGCUAGAAGAAUCUGCUUGAUAUGGAACCAGGGGAAAGGUCUCUUGGGGUUCUCUUCUUGAGUUUCCAAACUCCAGUUGCCGAUCGAGGUGUCUUAUCGCAUUAGUCAAUUAGACAUGUAGACUGUUUCAUACUUUUCUAUGCUGUCAAAGCUUGAACUGGUUUAUAUAAAGGCUGAUUUUCUCAACAGGAAUGUCAAUGAAGGAAUUAGUGGUGGCAUAAAGAUUCUUCAGUUAGCAGUAUAUUGAGAGUCAAGUAUAUGAAUUAUUGUUUCUCAUAUUGAAAAAUACAGAAAGUAAUUAUGUAUUCAAGAAAACUGUAAUCUCUUGGAAAUAUUUAAGAAAGAACAGUGGAGUUCCUGGA